GGGGUUGUGGCUUAGGGGUAGAGUGCUUUCCUAGAAUGCAUGAGGCACUGGGUUCGAUCCUCAACACCA
Molecule: transfer RNA, 69 nt
Filed under: Marmota monax (woodchuck)
Lineage: Eukaryota; Metazoa; Chordata; Mammalia; Rodentia; Sciuridae
Description: tRNA.Ser
Source: RNAcentral